UUCAAUGGGAAGUGGGUGGGACUAACCGGAAGUUGGUCAUUUGUGGCUGAUAUUGACAUGGGGUGAUCAGAAGAUGAAGAGGAGAGAGAAGUGAUCUUCGAAUCAAAGCAAGGCAGCUUUUCACAAACUCGGAUGAAUCAACUUCAGCCAGCUAUCCAGUGAGGUACCCAAAACAAUUUUUGCUCCAUCUGUACUCGAUAGGGUGCUAGUUGGCAACAGGAGGUGAGUUACAGACCAGGAAUUUGGAAGGGCGCCUUCAGCUCUGUGGCGGGAAACCAGUAAGGGGAACGUGAUGGCCAGCUCUGACCUGUGACCUCCCGACUGCUUCUCUUGAUGUUGCUCAUAAAGAAACUGAUGCUAGCUGCUUAGGAGGAAGGAGAUGUGAUGUAGAUAGGGCAUGACUCACAGCAUAGCAUGUUGAUGGUGACCCUUGACCAGCUUGGAGGGCUGAGCUAGCAGGUCAGAAUCUAUUUCUAGUGGUGUCUACUGAGAAUAUGCUUGAUCAUAUCAAAACUUAGAGGCAGAGUCUGAAGACAGUGAUGUCAGCUGUAGGUCUUUUCAAUAAAGAGCAAAAACAGCCUGGUGACAUCAAGUUCUCUCUCCUAACUCAUCAAAUAUGGCAGCUUAUACAGUGGCCCUAAGCUUCAAGCUAUGACGCUUAA
Long non-coding RNA from Acanthopagrus latus (yellowfin seabream), 662 nucleotides. RefSeq lists it as uncharacterized. The record is from RefSeq and is a predicted model, not a curated record. NCBI's taxonomy places the organism in Eukaryota, Metazoa, Chordata, Actinopteri, Spariformes, Sparidae. The transcript is spliced from 3 exons.